GAUGAACGCUGGCGGCGUGCCUAAUACAUGCAAGUCGAGCGAACGGACGAGAAGCUUGCUUUUCUGAGGUUAGCGGCGGACGGGUGAGUAACACGUGGAUAACCUACCUAUAAGACUGGGAUAACUUCAGGAAACCGGAGCUAAUACCGGAUAAUAUUUUGAACCGCAUGGUUCAAAAGUGAAAGACGGUCUUGCUUUCACUUAUAGAUGGAUCCGCGCUGCAUUAGCUAGUUGGUAAGGUAACGGCUUACCAAGGCAACGAUGCAUAGCCGACCUGAGAGGGUGAUCGGCCACCCUGGAACUGAGACACGGUCCAGACUACUACGGGAGGCAGCAGUAGGGAAUCUUCCGCAAAGGGCGAAAGACUGACGGAGCAACGCCGCGUGAGUGAUGAAGGUCUUCGGAUCGUAAAACUCUGUUAUUAGGGAAGAACAUAUGUGUAAGUAACUGUGCACAUCUUGACGGUACCUAAUCAGAAAGCCACGGCUAACUACGUG
This 497-nucleotide ribosomal RNA is filed under the name uncultured bacterium. RNAcentral's name for it is "partial 16S ribosomal RNA". It matches the Rfam family "Bacterial small subunit ribosomal RNA", at positions 28 to 507 of the family's 1533-position model. The record is from RNAcentral.